GGCCAUGUGUGUUGACACAUUAAAAGCCAAUGGCUUUCCAUGGACUUUGAGAAACAGUAACAACACCAUGUCCCUUUCAUCCACACACUAAAGCCUCACACAAUACUUUUUAAACUCAUCUAUCAAUUUGAACACCAAAACCAAGAUACCUUGACAAUAUUAGACAAGCCGCUUACGAAUGCUACGUUUCAUUAAACCUCGUAUCAAUCAGUUUUUGUACUUAAUACUUACGUACCAUCCCAUCAAUACGGCCCCAAUUUGUCAAAAGAAACCCUAAUUUGUAGAAAUAUAAUAUUAAUAAAAAUAUUAUGAAAGAAUAAUAGGCUGUCGAUAACUGACAGAGAGUCGCCUCAUGUGUCUCGUACUCAAUUAUUUUGCAGAUUUUCUUACACCGUCAAAAGCAA
This 404-nucleotide long non-coding RNA is filed under the name Physcomitrium patens. RNAcentral's name for it is "long non-coding RNA (PPAT_LNC007773)". Lineage: Eukaryota; Viridiplantae; Streptophyta; Bryopsida; Funariales; Funariaceae. The record is from RNAcentral.